UACGGGAGGCAGCAGUGGGGAAUAUUGCACAAUGGGCGCAAGCCUGAUGCAGCCAUGCCGCGUGUAUGAAGAAGGCCUUCGGGUUGUAAAGUACUUUCAGUCGUGAGGAAGGUGUUAAGGUUAAUAACCUUAGCAAUUGACGUUAGCGACAGAAGAAGCACCGGCUAACUCCGUGCCAGCAGCCGCGGUAAUACGGAGGGUGCGAGCGUUAAUCGGAAUUACUGGGCGUAAAGGGCACGCAGGCGGUUAAUUAAGUUGGAUGUGAAAUCCCCGGGCGUUAACCUGGGAAUGGCAUUCAAGACUGGUUAGCUAGAGUCUUGUAGAGGGGGUAGGAAUUCCAUGUGUAGCGGUGAAAUGCGUAGAGAUGUGGAGGAAUACCGGUGGCGAAGGCGGCCCCUGGGACAAGACUGACGCUCAUGUGCGAAAGCGUGGGGAGCAAACAGGAUUAGAUA
RNAcentral lists this ribosomal RNA (452 nucleotides) under uncultured bacterium. RNAcentral's name for it is "bacterial SSU rRNA". It matches the Rfam family "Bacterial small subunit ribosomal RNA", at positions 340 to 784 of the family's 1533-position model. The record is from RNAcentral.